ACGGGAGGCAGCAGUGGGGAAUAUUGCACAAUGGGGGAAACCCUGAUGCAGCGACGCCGCGUGAGUGAAGAAGUAUUUCGGUAUGUAAAGCUCUAUCAGCAGGAAAGAAAAUGACGGUACCUGACUAAGAAGCCCCGGCUAAUACGUGCCAGCAGCCGCGGUAAUACGUAUGGUGCAAGCGUUAUCCGGAUUUACUGGGUGUAAAGGGAGCGUAGACGGCAAGGUAAGUCUGAAGUGAAAUGCCGGGGCUCAACCCCGGAACUGCUUUGGAAACUAUCUCGCUCGAGUACCGGAGGGGUAAGCGGAAUUCCUAGUGUAGCGGUGAAAUGCGUAGAUAUUAGGAGGAACACCAGUGGCGAAGGCGGCUUACUGGACGGUAACUGACGUUGAGGCUCGAAAGCGUGGGGAGCAAACAGGAUUAGAUACCCUGGUA
Molecule: ribosomal RNA, 433 nt
Filed under: uncultured Lachnospiraceae bacterium
Lineage: Bacteria; Bacillati; Bacillota; Clostridia; Lachnospirales; Lachnospiraceae
Description: bacterial SSU rRNA
Rfam family: Bacterial small subunit ribosomal RNA
Source: RNAcentral